This is a long non-coding RNA of Neogale vison (American mink), 977 nucleotides long. RefSeq lists it as uncharacterized. The record is from RefSeq and is a predicted model, not a curated record. The transcript has 3 exons. NCBI's taxonomy places the organism in Eukaryota, Metazoa, Chordata, Mammalia, Carnivora, Mustelidae.
AGCAGUCCUUGUUGCCUCGUGUAGAAAGUUCAUCUGGAAUUAAGGGCAGAUAAUGUAAAAGCCUCCUUUUAUUUCUCCCCAAGGUGCAGGCCAACAACAUUUUGGGUUUCAUCAAAGACGGCAACUGUCAGGGUACACCGUAGGCUUUAGGUAGCUCACAGAAAUGAGGGGAAAUUUCUCAGCUCCUACGGGAAGAAGAUGGUAUAGCAGCAAUGCACCAAAGCACGUCAGAUCUUGGAUUUCAAGCCAACUCACUGAAACGGAGUCAAGAGGAGGAAAGAGGUUCUGUGUAUGCACCCGUGUCCUCAUCAUUCACCACAUAGUUCUGCUGAUGGGAAAGAGAGGCUGCCGGAAGGAAACAGAAGUUCAUCAGGGCUGGCAAAAUAUUAAUCUGGACGCUCACGGAUGGGCAGUGAUGCGGGCUCUCCGGCAGCAGGCGUCCCCUUCAUGUUCCUGCUACCUGUGGGCUGCACAAGUCCACCAGCCCACCCUUGCCACCGGGAGCACUCACCAUGACGCGCCAUGCAUCCUCUGUUCUAGAUCUACCCCCAAACUGCUUUCUGAGACGAGGUCAGGGAGGGGAACCAAGAGAACCGAAAAGGUGAACGGAACAGCUCAGCAAAGAAGCAUGGGCAGAAUCAGCCACUUCUCCAAAGAUCCCUGGUUCUUUUUCACUGGAGACGAUCAAGGGCACAGAGAAUGCUCAUUGCUCCCGAGGUGUCAUGACUUUUAGGUUCUCUCAGCUGAUGGAACAAGGAGACAUAAGGAUGGACACUAACCUGUGCGUACACACGUAUCUAUAAAUAUUUCUCGGUAUCAUCUGUAUCUGUGUUAAGCUAAGUAUGAGUUCACAGGGAUGUCUCUAAUGCAUUACCAUACGGAUACGUCUCGCCUCCUGUCCUUAUUUAUUUAUAAUCUCCCACUCCAAUAUAAGAAACCAGAUCCCACCGUCCCCCUCCAUCAACUUAAUUGUCCAA